CCGAUAGCGAACAAGUAGAGUGAUCGAAAGAUGAAAAGCACUUUGAAAAGAGAGUUAAACAGCACGUGAAAUUGUUGAAAGGGAAGCGCUUGCGACCAGACUCGCCCUCGGGGUUCAGCCGGCACUCGUGCCGGUGUACUUCCCCGGGGGCGGGCCAGCGUCAGCUUGGGCGGCCGGUCAAAGGCCUCCGGAAUGUAGUGCCCCCCGGGGCACCUUAUAGCCGGAGGUGCAAUUGCGGCCACCUGGGCUGUAAGAACGCGCUUCGGCACGGAC
Molecule: ribosomal RNA, 273 nt
Filed under: Aspergillus sp. BAB-1413
Lineage: Eukaryota; Fungi; Ascomycota; Eurotiomycetes; Eurotiales; Aspergillaceae
Description: partial 28S ribosomal RNA
Rfam family: Eukaryotic large subunit ribosomal RNA
Source: RNAcentral